CGGGGCAAUGCUCUCCAACAUUGAUAUAGUCGCAUUUCAAUCCAGCAUUAAUAGUGGAAUCAAAGGGAAGAAGGGAAUCAAGUGACUCACCCAAGAGAUGGACACCACCGAGCAAAGGAAUACUAAAGCUAAACAUCGACCGAUCUUUCCACGAAGUAUCAUCCGAAGGCUCCAUAGCUUGCAUUUGCCACAACUUUGGGGGUAGAUUGAUGGAUUGGUUCGCAUGGAGAGUGAAGGCUUUUUAAGCGCUUCAAGCCGAAACCGUUGCAUGUCUUAAUUCCCUCGAUUACUUCUCAACAAAAUUUGAAUUGAACUACUCAUGAGUCAGACGAUCUAAGAGUAGUAGAAUCCCUCACGAGCGACUCUGUCCACGUGCUUAUCACUGACGGCAAGACACUUCUGACACAAUUUCCACAUCUAAAGCUAGCCGAUUGAAACAGCUUUCGCCCCGACUAACCUCCAGAUUAGUACUCAACAGCAGGAAUCGACAAGUAGAUCUGCUUGGCUGAACCCUAAUCGGACAUGGCUUCCACCGUAGUAGGGCACGGUGAAGAUUAAUGUGGACGGAGCCUUCCCCACAGUGAAUCAAAUGGGUGCAAUAGCAAGCAUUGCUCGCGAUCACUCGGGCAGCUUGAUCGGAGGUUUCACCCGUUCUGUCUCCGCAUCCUCUGCUCUCGAGACAGAGAUCCAAGCUUUAAUAUACACCCUAAAGGAUCUGGUACAGCAAAAUUUAACAGAAUCUCACCUGGUAUUGGAGUCCGACAGCAUCAUUCUGGUCGAAACCCUCAAUCGGUGCCGUCUGCCGCCGUGUUGCCACGCCCUCUUUGCCGAAAGCGUAGACCUCCU
Molecule: long non-coding RNA, 846 nt
Filed under: Eucalyptus grandis
Lineage: Eukaryota; Viridiplantae; Streptophyta; Magnoliopsida; Myrtales; Myrtaceae
Description: long non-coding RNA (EGRA_LNC001779)
Source: RNAcentral